This 253-nucleotide ribosomal RNA is filed under the name uncultured bacterium. RNAcentral's name for it is "partial 16S ribosomal RNA". It matches the Rfam family "Bacterial small subunit ribosomal RNA", at positions 524 to 776 of the family's 1533-position model. The record is from RNAcentral.
UACGUAGGGUGCAAGCGUUAAUCGGAAUUACUGGGCGUAAAGCGUGCGCAGGCGGUUUUGUAAGACAGAGGUGAAAUCCCCGGGCUCAACCUGGGAACUGCCUUUGUGACUGCAAGGCUUGAGUGCGGCAGAGGGGGAUGGAAUUCCGCGUGUAGCAGUGAAAUGCGUAGAUAUCUGGAGGAACACCGGUGGCGAAGGCGGCAUCCUGGACCGGCAUUGACGCUGAGGCGCGAAAGCCAGGGGAGCAAACGGG